Non-coding RNA from Paramisgurnus dabryanus, 303 nucleotides. NCBI's taxonomy places the organism in Eukaryota, Metazoa, Chordata, Actinopteri, Cypriniformes, Cobitidae. The record is from RefSeq and is a predicted model, not a curated record.
CUCAGUCAGUCAGUGGGAGAUUAACUGACAGACUGUAUAACGUUACAGGCCACCAAACAGUCUUACCAAGAAACCUUUUACAGUUUAGCACAAAUGUUUCCCGUGGAAGUUUGAAUCUCUCUCAGUCAGGGGGGAGAUUGACUGACAGACGGUCUACUUGCCACCAAACAGUAAUUUACCCUGAAACCUUUUUAAGUUUAGCACAAAUGUUUCCCGUGGAAGUUUGAAUCUCUCUCAGUCAGGGGGGAGAUUGACUGACAGACAGUCUACUUGCCACCAAACAGUAAUUUACCCUGAAACCUU